This is a long non-coding RNA of Lolium rigidum, 595 nucleotides long. RefSeq lists it as uncharacterized. Lineage: Eukaryota; Viridiplantae; Streptophyta; Magnoliopsida; Poales; Poaceae. The record is from RefSeq and is a predicted model, not a curated record. The transcript is spliced from 4 exons.
AGGGUGGAUGACUGAGUUUGUUCCAAGCUGUUUAUUUUUACUUGUCGUGUUGGUGCUUGGAGCUGAUGUGCAGCUCUUCCUAUGAGAUGGGUUCAUCAUACUCUUCCCUUGUCUCUGUGUUGUUCAUUUACUCAAUUAACUGACUUCCCGUCUUGGGUCACUAUGAUUGCUAGCUGUUGUAGGCAAGACAGCAAGAAGUCAAUAAAAAAGUCGAGACUCAAGUUUCAAGAGCAAGUAUGGGGAUAUAUCAUGUCCAUGAAGCACCAGUUGGUUUGUUGGAAAGACCAAAUUGCUCUAGAAUUUGCUUGCUUUUAUAGCAUAGAAGUCGAUCGAGUGAAAAUGAUUGUACCCAUCAAGUAAGAAAAAUUAGAUAUUGAUCAGGAUAGAUAUGUAUGUAGUGGUUUGAAUGGUGGUUCAGAUGCUGGAAGCAUGAUAGAAAGAAUUGUUGAUCUUUCGAUGAGUGAUGAGCUGCAAGGUGCAAGAACGCAAGUGGUUAUAGCUGAACUUGAAGCUCUAUCAAAACUGACGGACAAGAUUCUUCUCGAGCUCGAUAAUAUUCAGAUUUUGAUGCAUCAGCAAUUAUACUCGAUAAGGU